This 1898-nucleotide long non-coding RNA is filed under the name Anas zonorhyncha (Eastern spot-billed duck). RNAcentral's name for it is "lncRNA (ENSAZOG00000014872.1)". The record is from RNAcentral. Lineage: Eukaryota; Metazoa; Chordata; Aves; Anseriformes; Anatidae.
CUAACCUGGAAACGGCUAAAGCUGGCGAAGGGCAGCGGCUAGAAGGAUCAGACCCGAGCUGUGCGGAUCUGAAGCUGUGCCCUCACUCGAAGGCGCACACACUGGUGCCCCUGCGCUCCACCAGCACUGACAGCAGCCGGCUGCCCCAGCUCCUCCGGCUGCUGCGGCGGCCACAGGCGUCGCCCUGACACCACCGAGAAGGGGGGGACCGGGGGGAAAGCCGGCGCGACCCCCAGCCCGGCCCCGCCGCUCGGCGCCCCCUCCCCUUCCUCUCUUUCCCUCCCCUUCCCAGCAGGGCGAGACGAGGCAUGGGGGCCGGUGGCCGUGGUGGCCCGGCGGCAGGUGUAGGCACACGGCGGCAGCGGCACCCCGCGACCCUUCAGACCCUUCAGGUAAGGGCGGCCGGGUGGGGGGCUCCCACCACCGCCGUGGGGGCCGAGGAGGCGCCCCCGGGCCGCCGGGCGGAGGGCAGGGAGGCCGGGGGCGGCGGGGCGGGCCGGGGCGGGGCCGUGCCGCUGGCUCCCCGGGCGGCGCUGGGGCCCUGCCAGAACCAUUUUGGUUCGCGGGGUGGCGGCAGCGCAGCCCCCGACGGCCCCAGCGCGGGGCUCCCGCUGUCAAACCCGGCGCGGCAGUCCCCGAAAGGCUUAGUGAAGGGGUGUUCUGCCCGGCUAGGCGGCUGUCGAAAGUGUCUUAUUUAUUUUUAUUUUUUUAAUCUUUUCGGCCGGCUGUCGGAGCGAGGGAAGCGCCUGCGCCGGCUGGGGCUGCGGCGAGCGUCGAGGAUCGCUGGAAGAGUGAAUUUCUCCUGCCCGAGUAACGGGGAACGGGGCAAACCUGCCGCGGCUCCCAGGUGGAGGUGGAUCUUGGAUGAAGAGACUGACCAAAUUAAAAAUAUAUAUGUAUAUAUAUUAAAUAAAGGGAUCUCAGAAUAUGCUUCUGUUUCUGUAUAGAGGAUAUUUUUCUACAUCUCCUGUCCUCCACCUUGGAUUUUGUUGAUGCAUAGGAAAAAGUCCUCACUUGCACUGCCAAACUUCUGCAACACCACUUCUGGGAGAAGGAAGUGCAGCUCCUUUUGCCAAGGACCAGAAGCGCCACUGGCUUUGAAGAGCACAGCUGCCGAAGGCACUGCCUCGAGCUCCCAGCACUGUCCUCCUUGCCACCGGCCACAAAGGAGCAACGCCGCUUGGAACCAAGGAAUCCUUUGAGAGAUAAGCAUUCUUAUGCUGCAGCAAGCCGUGGACAUGCUCCCCAGACGGGGCAUUUGGCAGCCUUGCCUUUGCCUUACAAGAGACAUUCCUCAAGCUCCUCUUGAAACUCACAUGACAUAAACCACCCUGACCGCCGGGAAACCACUGUGGACGACUUGGCUCAGCCAGAAGCAUGAGCGGCUUACUGAGACACCUCUUGCCGCAGACUAUCAGCGGCCCCUGUCACCGCUCCCAGCCUUCCAAGAACCUCCCACCAGUCCUACCCUCCAGCAGGCAGAACGCCCCCGCCUCCUGCCAAGUACGCCUUCUCUUGUGACUGGCAGCCCAAACCGGCCUCUGUGUCUAGCUUCUGCAGUGGCCAUGGGAACAAGAAAUCCCUCCCCGUGCAACACACUGGGGGCCGACAUUUUAUGGCGAGGGGGGAGCGCUCUUCUCACCGUGCCUCUCUGAUUGGCUGCGUGCUGUUCGAGCCACGUGCCCUGCGCUCGCCCGCUGAUUGGUGGCCCGCUGCCUUUCGGCCGGGAAGCGCUAAAUAUGAAAAUAUCGAUCUACGACACGUGCUGUGUGUGCGUGUACGGACACGUGUAUGUAUAUCCACACAGAAAUGUAAACACAAGGAAAUGCACGCAGCGGUUUUCUACACAGGCACACUAUUUAUAGAUAGGUACAUGUAUACAUUCAUUUGCUUACCUG